RNAcentral lists this ribosomal RNA (1356 nucleotides) under Paenibacillus pabuli. RNAcentral describes it as "bacterial LSU rRNA". It matches the Rfam family "Bacterial large subunit ribosomal RNA", at positions 1566 to 2925 of the family's 2925-position model. The record is from RNAcentral. Lineage: Bacteria; Bacillati; Bacillota; Bacilli; Caryophanales; Paenibacillaceae.
AUGGGGAGCGAAAAUUAUAGUAGCGAAGGUCAUGAUCUCACACUGCCAAGAAAAGCCUCUAGCCAGGUGAUGGUGCCCGUACCGCAAACCGACACAGGUAGGCGAGAAGAGAAUUCUAAGGCGCGCGGAAGAACUCUCGUUAAGGAACUCGGCAAAAUGACCCCGUAACUUCGGGAGAAGGGGUGCCCCGGUAGUGUGAAUAGCACGAGGGGGCCGCAGUGAAAAGGCCCAAGCGACUGUUUAGCAAAAACACAGGUCUGUGCGAAGCCGUAAGGCGAAGUAUACGGGCUGACGCCUGCCCGGUGCUGGAAGGUUAAGGGGAGCGGUUAGGAGCAAUCCGAAGCUGUGAACCGAAGCCCCAGUAAACGGCGGCCGUAACUAUAACGGUCCUAAGGUAGCGAAAUUCCUUGUCAGGUAAAUUCUGACCCGCACGAAUGGCGUAACGACUUGGGCGCUGUCUCAACGAGAGAUCCGGUGAAAUUUUAAUACCUGUGAAGAUGCAGGUUACCCGCGACAAGACGGAAAGACCCCAUGGAGCUUUACUGCAGCUUGAUAUUGAAUUUGGGUACGAUCUGUACAGGAUAGGUGGGAGCCUUUGAAGCGUGAGCGCCAGCUUGCGUGGAGGCACCGUUGGGAUACCACCCUGAUCGUAUCUAGGUUCUAACCUGGUACCGUAAUCCGGUGCGGGGACAGUGUCAGGUGGGCAGUUUGACUGGGGCGGUCGCCUCCUAAAGAGUAACGGAGGCGCCCAAAGGUUCCCUCAGAAUGGUUGGAAAUCAUUCGAAGAGUGCAAAGGCAUAAGGGAGCUUGACUGCGAGACCUACAAGUCGAGCAGGGACGAAAGUCGGGCUUAGUGAUCCGGUGGUACCGCAUGGAAGGGCCAUCGCUCAACGGAUAAAAGCUACCCUGGGGAUAACAGGCUUAUCUCCCCCAAGAGUCCACAUCGACGGGGAGGUUUGGCACCUCGAUGUCGGCUCAUCGCAUCCUGGGGCUGAAGUAGGUCCCAAGGGUUGGGCUGUUCGCCCAUUAAAGCGGUACGCGAGCUGGGUUCAGAACGUCGUGAGACAGUUCGGUCCCUAUCUGUCGUGGGCGUAGGAAAUUUGAGAGGAGCUGUCCUUAGUACGAGAGGACCGGGAUGGACGUACCGCUGGUGUACCAGUUGUUCCGCCAGGAGCACCGCUGGGUAGCUAUGUACGGAAGGGAUAAGCGCUGAAAGCAUCUAAGCGUGAAGCCCCCCUCAAGAUGAGAUUUCCCAGUAUGUAAGACCCCUUGAAGACGACGAGGUAGAUAGGCUGGGGGUGGAAGUGCAGCAAUGCAUGGAGCUGACCAGUACUAAUCGGUCGAGGGCUUAUCCAA